GCGGGUGUAGCUCAAUGGUAGAGCAACAGCCUUCCAAGCUGAUGACGGGGGUUCGAUUCCCCUCACCCGCUCCA
RNAcentral lists this transfer RNA (74 nucleotides) under Hyphomicrobium sp. Its description in RNAcentral is "tRNA-Gly". It matches the Rfam family "tRNA". From Rfam's summary of the family: Transfer RNA (tRNA) molecules are approximately 80 nucleotides in length. RNAcentral also lists the same sequence under 34 other names. Lineage: Bacteria; Pseudomonadati; Pseudomonadota; Alphaproteobacteria; Hyphomicrobiales; Hyphomicrobiaceae. The record is from RNAcentral.